RNAcentral lists this ribosomal RNA (913 nucleotides) under uncultured bacterium. Its description in RNAcentral is "bacterial SSU rRNA". It matches the Rfam family "Bacterial small subunit ribosomal RNA", at positions 94 to 982 of the family's 1533-position model. The record is from RNAcentral.
AGUGGCGAACGGGUGAGUAACGCGUGAGAAACCUGCCUUCAUCAGGGGGAUAACACUCCCAACGGGGUGCUAAUACCGCAUGAGACCACGGGAUCGCAUGGUCCUGAGGUCAAAGGUGGCCUCUAUUUAUAAGCUACCGGAUGAAGAUGGUCUCGCGUCCCAUUAGCUAGUUGGCGGGGUAAUGGCCCACCAAGGCGACGAUGGGUAGCUGGUCUGAGAGGAUGGUCAGCCACACUGGGACUGAGAUACAGCCCAGACUCCUACGGGAGGCAGCAGUCGAGAGGCUUCGGCAAUGGGGGAAACCCUGACCGAGCGACGCCGCGUGGGGGAUGAAGGCCCUUGGGUUGUAAACCCCUUUUGUUCGGGAAGAAAUGCGAUCAGGUGAAUAAUCUGGUCGUUUGACGGUACCGGACGAAUAAGCUCCGGCUAACUCCGUGCCAGCAGCCGCGGUAACACGGGGGGAGCAAGCGUUGUUCGGAAUCACUGGGCGUAAAGGGCGUGUAGGCGGUCAGGUAAGUGUGAUGUGAAAUCCCUCGGCUCACCCGAGGACCGGCAUCGCAUACUGCUUGGCUUGAGUACGGGAGAGGAUGUGGGAAUUCCUGGUGUAGCGGUGAAAUGCGUAGAUAUCAGGAGGAACACCGGUGGCGAAGGCGCACAUCUGGCCCGAUACUGACGCUGAGGCGCGAAAGCUAGGGGAGCAAACGGGAUUAGAUACCCCGGUAGUCCUAGCCGUAAACGGUGAUCACUAGGUGUUGGAGGCAUUGACCCCUCCAGUGCCGCAGCUAACGCAUUAAGUGAUCCGCCUGGGGAGUACGGCCGCAAGGUUGAAACUCAAAGGAAUUGACGGGGGCCCGCACAAGCGGUGGAGCAUGUGGUUUAAUUCGACGCAACGCGAAGAACCUUACCCAGACUU